UACGAACUGUGCAAACGUUAUUCGGAUUCACUGGGCUUAAAGGGUGCGUAGGCGGCCGUGUAAGUAGGGUGUGAAAUCCCCCGGCUUAACCGGGGAACUGCGCCCUAAACUGUAUGGCUGGAGUGAGAUAGGGGUGUGUGGAACUUCCGGUGGAGCGGUGAAAUGUGUUGAUAUCGGAAGGAACGCCGGUGGCGAAAGCGACACACUGGGUCUCAACUGACGCUGAGGCACGAAAGCCAGGGGAGCGAACGGG
This 253-nucleotide ribosomal RNA is filed under the name uncultured bacterium. RNAcentral's name for it is "partial 16S ribosomal RNA". It matches the Rfam family "Bacterial small subunit ribosomal RNA", at positions 524 to 776 of the family's 1533-position model. The record is from RNAcentral.